AGCCAGCAGCGCCAGGAUGGUGCUGCUGGAGAGUGAGCAGUUCCUGAAGGAGCUGACCAGGUUCCUCCAGAAGUGCUGGUUGUCAGGCAGCGUGUUCAUCACCCUGAAGAAGUAUGAUGGUCGAACUAAACCCAUUACAAGGAAGGGUUCUGUGGAGGGCUUUGAGCCCUCAGAUAACAAGUGUCUGUUAAGAGCUACUGGUGGGAAAAAGAAGAUCAGCACUGUGGUGAGCUCCAAAGAAGUAAGUUUCAGAUGGCUUAUUCAAACCUACUGAGAGCUAACAUGCAUGGGCUCAAGAAGAGGGACAAAAAGAGCCAGAGUAAGAAGAGCAAAGCAGCGCAGUGA
RNA transcript from Lipotes vexillifer (Yangtze River dolphin), 345 nucleotides. It is a transcript of the gene named signal recognition particle 14 kDa protein pseudogene, with no coding region annotated. NCBI's taxonomy places the organism in Eukaryota, Metazoa, Chordata, Mammalia, Artiodactyla, Lipotidae. The transcript has a single exon. The record is from RefSeq and is a predicted model, not a curated record.